Molecule: ribosomal RNA, 253 nt
Filed under: uncultured bacterium
Lineage: Bacteria
Description: partial 16S ribosomal RNA
Rfam family: Bacterial small subunit ribosomal RNA
Source: RNAcentral
UACGAAGGGGGCUAGCGUUGUUCGGAAUCACUGGGCGUAAAGCGCACGCAGGCGGAUUGAUAAGUCGGGGGUGAAAUCCCGGGGCUCAACCUCGGAAUUGCCUUCGAUACUGUCUGUCUUGAGUCCGGGAGAGGUGAGUGGAAUUCCUAGUGUAGAGGUGAAAUUCGUAGAUAUUAGGAAGAACACCAGUGGCGAAGGCGGCUCACUGGCCCGGUACUGACGCUCAUGUGCGAAAGCGUGGGGAGCAAACAGG